Lingula anatina is the source of this 299-nucleotide long non-coding RNA. NCBI's taxonomy places the organism in Eukaryota, Metazoa, Brachiopoda, Lingulata, Lingulida, Lingulidae. The record is from RefSeq and is a predicted model, not a curated record.
GCUGUAUAUCAAAGCCACUGUGAUUUUGAAACAGACACGUGCGUCUGUAAGAAAGGUUAUUUCAAUGAGACGUUGUAUGAAUGUUUAAAAGUGACCUUAGGAUCACCCUGCAAUGACAGUGCCAAGUGCAGUAAUACUAUCAUGAAUAGCACGUGUGAAGCCAAUGUUUGCCAGUGUCAGUCUGGAUUCUACAACAGCAGCUUGGAGAUGUGUGAGGAAGUCGUGUUAGGGUCACCUUGCUCUGCUGACGGUUCAUGUACUAGUGUACCACAUUCGGAGUAUUUGAGAGGAAGAUGUGA